Molecule: long non-coding RNA, 494 nt
Organism: Phyllostomus discolor (pale spear-nosed bat)
Lineage: Eukaryota; Metazoa; Chordata; Mammalia; Chiroptera; Phyllostomidae
Exons: 2
Source: RefSeq, a predicted model, not a curated record
AGCACCAUUGCUUGGGUUUUUCUCUGUUUAUUGGAAUUCACGGCAUAAAAGAUAAGAUAGUCAUUGUAGUCUACUUCAACUAUGUGAAACAUAUUGUAUCCAUCAUCUGAAACACUAUAUACACCUCCCUCUUCUGUUUCAUCACAAAUGAAAGGCAGUUCAGCACACUCUCCGUUGAUCCUGUGAAACAGAAUGAGCUGAGUGGUGCCCGUGAGAUACUGAGGGGCUGGCUCCCUGCCACUCCACCUGUAACCUGAGUGUCCCAUUUCGUGAAGUAUUGAAAAACCUUUGGUAAAACUUUGAAAGAGCUUUUAUUUCCCUUGUUUCACUUUAUUUGCUACUUUAAGAAUGAGCCGACUACUGACAUCACUGUUCCUCCACUUCCCACUCUCACCUCUGCUGCGGCUACCUGUCUAGAUAGUUGGCCGAGGGCUCAGCUGUGCCAGCGUCUCAUAUGAAUGCUGUACAAGCAUUGCCUCACUCAGCCCUCACAC